This 447-nucleotide long non-coding RNA is filed under the name Musa acuminata (dwarf banana). Its description in RNAcentral is "long non-coding RNA (MACU_LNC008482)". The record is from RNAcentral. Lineage: Eukaryota; Viridiplantae; Streptophyta; Magnoliopsida; Zingiberales; Musaceae.
GGUAAGGGUAAGCGAAAGAAGGGGGGAGUAACACAGUGUUGGUUGUUAAUAUCUUAUAUGUUAUGAUAGCUAUCUUCCAGCACAGGAUAGGGAGGAAAUAAUGAGUGUUUUUACUUUUCAAUAGAUUCUUUCAUUAGAUAGAAUUAUCCUAUUUUGGAAUAUAAGAGCAAAAGACAAGCAUAUUGUGGAAUAUAAGAGCAAAAGAAAAGUCAUCAAUCAUAAGAAAUAGAUUCCCGCCUCGCCUGUGCUUCGUAUCAUAAGAAUUGGCGCUUGCUUUCUUAUCCAGUGCUUCGUAUCUGAUCGCGCUAUAGGGGAUUCGGUACCGCAAUAAUAGGUCUUUCUGUCUGCCUAACAAAAGAGAAAUGGCCGUAAGUCUACUUAGUUCAUUCAUGCUCAUAAGAUUCUACAAGGGCCAAGCAACUAAGCGCCAAGCAACUACGCAAGUCC